UACGAAGGGGGCUAGCGUUGCUCGGAAUUACUGGGCGUAAAGGGCGCGUAGGCGGACAGUUUAGUCAGAGGUGAAAGCCCAGAGCUCAACCUUGGAACUGCCUUUGAUACUGGCUGUCUUGAGUUCGGGAGAGGUGAGUGGAAUGCCGAGUGUAGAGGUGAAAUUCGUAGAUAUUCGGCGGAACACCAGUGGCGAAGGCGACUCACUGGCCCGAUACUGACGCUGAGGCGCGAAAGCGUGGGGAGCAAACAGG
This 253-nucleotide ribosomal RNA is filed under the name uncultured bacterium. Its description in RNAcentral is "partial 16S ribosomal RNA". It matches the Rfam family "Bacterial small subunit ribosomal RNA", at positions 524 to 776 of the family's 1533-position model. The record is from RNAcentral.